This 585-nucleotide ribosomal RNA is filed under the name uncultured bacterium. RNAcentral describes it as "partial 16S ribosomal RNA". It matches the Rfam family "Bacterial small subunit ribosomal RNA", at positions 355 to 1375 of the family's 1533-position model. The record is from RNAcentral.
UGGGGAAUUUUGGACAAUGGGCGAAAGCCUGAUCCAGCAAUGCCGCGUGUGUGAAGAAGGCCUUCGGGUUGUAAAGCACUUUUGUCCGGAAAGAAAUCCUUGGCUCUAAUACAGUCGGGGGAUGACGGUACCGGAAGAAUAAGCACCGGCUAACUACGUGCCAGCAGCCGCGGUAAUACGUAGGGUGCAAGCGUUAAUCGGAAUUACUGGGCGUAAAGCGUGCGCAGGCGGUUUGCUAAGACCGAUGUGAAAUCCCCGGGCUCAACCUGGGAACUGCAUUGGUGACUGGCAGGCUAGAGUAUGGCAGAGGGGGGUAGAAUUCCACGUGUAGCAGUGAAAUGCGUAGAGAUGUGGAGGAAUACCGAUGGCGAAGGCAGCCCCCUGGGCCAAUACUGACGCUCAUGCACGAAAACGUGGGGAGCAAACAGGAUUAGAUACCCUGGUAGUCCACGCCCUAAACGAUGUCAACUAGUUGUUGGGGAUUCAUUUCCUUAGUAACGUAGCUAACGCGUGAAGUUGACCGCCUGGGGAGUACGGUCGCAAGAUUAAAACUCAAAUGAAUUGACGGGGUCAUAGCUGUUUCCU